Long non-coding RNA from Plectropomus leopardus (leopard coralgrouper), 336 nucleotides. RefSeq lists it as uncharacterized. NCBI's taxonomy places the organism in Eukaryota, Metazoa, Chordata, Actinopteri, Perciformes, Serranidae. The record is from RefSeq and is a predicted model, not a curated record.
UCCCAGAACCUUUUUUUUUUUUUUGCUUACAACUCUCGAGUUUUUUGUAGUCUGUCUUUUAAAUGUGGAGGAAUUGCUUUUUACCAACAACUGGACGGCAUAUCAGGAGAGUGGAAUAUGGGGGCAAAAGGACAAGAAAGACAAAAAAGACUCCCAGGGAGGAGAGACUCCGCCUGCAGCGACUGCUUCACUCCGCAUGGGCCACCAUCUCUAUCUGGAUCACCUUUACUACAGUCACAGAUUUGUUUAUUCACUUCCUCUUCUUCCACUCCUGUCACCUCUCGAACCGGGCUCGCCCUCCCUAAAAUGCUUUGCUAAAGCUGGUAAAAUGGAACC